This is a long non-coding RNA of Cairina moschata (Muscovy duck), 1854 nucleotides long. The record is from Ensembl. NCBI's taxonomy places the organism in Eukaryota, Metazoa, Chordata, Aves, Anseriformes, Anatidae.
UGCAGCUCCUUUGUUUUAUGCCAUAUCACAUCUAGCUGCCUCUUACAUGGAGCCAAACAAAAUCAGCUUGUGCCUUGCCACACCAGAGGGCUCUCCGUGCUGCUGCUGCUGCCUGUCCAUGGUGAUGGAGUUGUUGUAGCCAUGAGAGAUGGUCUUUUGGCCAUCAUCAGAAGGAAAUAGGAGCAGAUUCUUCCCUGCCAUGCUGCACAGAGAAGAUUGUGGGAGAAUUAAUUUACUUUUUUGCCCCAGCAAAUGGGUUUUCUGACAACUCUGGCUCCUUUUGUGUUACUGAGCUGCAAAGACUCCAGAGGUCUUGACUCAAUGCUUCUCUUGCUUUCACAGGGGAAGAAAAAUGCAAAGACAUGCAUGAGAAAUCUCCUCUUUUGUGGAAAAUCACAGUAGAUGCUGGUACUUUGCUCCCCACACUGUGACAGUGCCCAGACAACUCGUGUGACCACUCUGAGGUUGAGCUUGCGACACUGCAAGAGCUGUGUUUUGACUCGGAAGCUGAGCACAUUUGCUAUGAAGGCUGUAGAAGGGACACCAGCCUUGGCAUUACCUACUUUACGCAGAGGAUGUUCCUUGUGGCUUCAGCGAGUGAGCUGCCUGCGUUAGCAGUACGGGAUUGCUGAGUGCCUGCCACGGUCUUCAUUCCAGCUCCUUAACCCCUUGCGUGGUCUGAAAGGCGGUGUGUUUGAGCUCCCCCACCUCGAUUCAGGCUGUGGCUCAGGAGGACAGAGUACGUACUGCAGGAUUAUAGAUUUGGCUGUAAGUACUCCUAGUGUACGUCAAAGGACAUGUACUUUCUAGAGGGUAUGUCGUGGGGGCUGCCUUUGCAGGUAGGGGAGAGGUAGCAAUGAGAGCUGGGCUGGGUUUGCCUCGUGGCCUUGCAUGUGCUUGGAGAUCCUGAAGGGUGUGGGGGGUGCUGUGGGUUUUGUGUCAGGCGCUGUGCGCUGAAUGAGGUGCCUGCCCAGGAAUCUGGCUGGGGAUGUUUCUCCUCCAAGCUCUCCAAUGUUUUGGGAUGUCCUGGGGAGGCUGCAGAGCUCAUUUCCUCUGCGCCUGGCACCAAGUCUGCUUCCCAGCUCUCCAGCAGCCACGCGAAGCUGCAGGGAGGCCAUGAGGUGAGGCAUGUUUGAGCUGUUACCUGGGCAACAGCUAAACAUUGACUUCAAAUAAUAAUUGCAAAAUAACUUAGCGUCAGGGCGAUGAGGCGGGGGAAAGGGGGCUGCCACUGCCCAUUGUCCCAGGGAGCCCCAUAAAAUCCUCAAUGAAAAGCUACUUGUACAAGCCAAAUUGGCUGGAGCUCAACCUGUGCUCGGAGCUCUUGACAAACUACACCCAGGCAGAGGCACCGUGGUGCCCCGGGCCCUUCAGGUGGCCUCCUGCUUCAUCACACCCAGCCACCUGCUACUGCCUGCCACCUCCCUGAGUUAUCUGUGCUUUUAACCAGGCUCUGGAUGGCUCUGUUAAACAUAUACGAGGGGAAAGCUUUGCACACAGACUGUUUCCCAAGUGUCCUGCUGGUGGUACAGUCUCCUGGCACACUGCUUACAUCCUCUGAGCAGUAAUCUGGGUGCCUUGCACCCAAGAGCUUUGCUAGACUUUAGUCAGUGACAGGUUGCUUUUUGAGUUUAGCCUUGAAACUAACAGCAAAAGAAAUGGAAAGCUCUGGGGCAAGUUGCAACUCUGCCACGUUGGUCCAGUAUUGUGGUCAGGGAGGUGGGUAUGAAUGCUGGUAACUGGGGACAGGGCAUGGCUUUCUGCGUGGAAGUAGCCUGGGUAUGACAAGCAUGGCUUAGCCAUGGCUUGUGUCUUGCUUUGCUGUGACAAGUUUGGCUCAAAGGAGAAGCAGAA